GAAUCGUCAGCCUCCUGCUCCUCAUCUACCUGCUGUUCACCAGCCUCUGGCUCAUCCCCGUGCUCUACCUGGCCUGGAUCAUCUUCGACUGGGACACGCCGGAGAAAGGUGGCAGGAGGCUGUCGUGCCUGCGGCGAUGGACAGUAUGGAAGCACUUUCGGGAUUAUUUCCCGGUGAAGCUGGUGAAGACACACGACCUGUCCCCCAGCCACAACUACAUCAUCGGCUCGCACCCCCACGGCAUCCUCUGCGUCGGCGCCUUCUGCAACUUCAUCACGGGCUCCACGGGCUUCGAGGAGCUGUUCCCGGGCAUCCGCUCCUUCCUCACCACGCUGGCCGGGAAUUUCCGCCUGCCCUUGUUCCGGGAGUACCUGAUGAGUGGCG
Non-coding RNA from Zonotrichia albicollis (white-throated sparrow), 384 nucleotides. The record is from RefSeq and is a predicted model, not a curated record. NCBI's taxonomy places the organism in Eukaryota, Metazoa, Chordata, Aves, Passeriformes, Passerellidae.